AAUCACCGGCUGAUUGCCUAACUUUUUGCGUUUAUUUAGGAGGACGAUUUUCGUGAUCACCACCACUAUAUAUCAUUUCUAUGCUGAUGCCAUUCUUUGAAAUUUUGUCACUUCCAAGUAAAGAUGUAUAUUUAGAGGUGGAGCUUGCCUUGUUAUCUCAAUUGCGGCACUUUUGAUGGACUUGUUUCUCAUUUACAAGUUUACAUGCCCGCUGAACAACCAGCUCUGUACAUUCUAAUUUGACUUUUUAGUUCCAUAACCAGAGAAAAAAGGCAGGUCCUUGUAUGUAUUUAUUUAUGUUUUGGGAGGGGGAGACCACUCUUUGUCAAUUCUCUAACUCUUAUUUUAGUGCAAAUAUGAAAUUGAAUCAAAAGUUUUUUCCAUCAA
This 387-nucleotide long non-coding RNA is filed under the name Solanum tuberosum (potato). RNAcentral's name for it is "long non-coding RNA (STUB_LNC005877)". The record is from RNAcentral. Lineage: Eukaryota; Viridiplantae; Streptophyta; Magnoliopsida; Solanales; Solanaceae.